RNAcentral lists this ribosomal RNA (423 nucleotides) under uncultured bacterium. RNAcentral's name for it is "bacterial SSU rRNA". It matches the Rfam family "Bacterial small subunit ribosomal RNA", at positions 360 to 773 of the family's 1533-position model. The record is from RNAcentral.
AAUUGUUCGCAAUGGGCGCAAGCCUGACGACGCAACGCCGCGUGGAGGACGAAGAUCUUCGGGUCGUAAACUCCUUUCGAUCGGGACGAAUGGCUGGUGGUCGAAUACGCCACCGGAAUGACGGUACCGAGAGGAGAAGCCCCGGCUAACUCCGUGCCAGCAGCCGCGGUAACACGUAGGGGGCAAGCGUUGUCCGGAUUUAUUGGGCGUAAAGAGCUCGUAGGUGGUUCAGUAAGUCGGGUGUGAAACCUCCAGGCUCAACCUGGAGACGCCACCCGAUACUGCUGUGACUAGAGUCCAGUAGGGGAGCGUGGAAUUCCUGGUGUAGCGGUGAAAUGCGCAGAUAUCAGGAGGAACACCAGUGGCGAAGGCGGCGCUCUGGGCUGGAACUGACACUGAGGAGCGAAAGCGUGGGGAGCGAAC